This 253-nucleotide ribosomal RNA is filed under the name uncultured bacterium. RNAcentral's name for it is "partial 16S ribosomal RNA". It matches the Rfam family "Bacterial small subunit ribosomal RNA", at positions 524 to 776 of the family's 1533-position model. The record is from RNAcentral.
UACGUAGGGGGCAAGCGUUGUCCGGAUUUAUUGGGCGUAAAGGGCGCGUAGGCUGCGGGGCAAGUCGGGUGUGAAAUCUCAGGGCUCAACCCUGAAACUGCACUCGAUACUGCUCUGCUUGAGGACUGGAGAGGAGACUGGAAUUCACGGUGUAGCAGUGAAAUGCGUAGAUAUCGUGAGGAAGACCAGUGGCGAAGGCGGGUCUCUGGACAGUUCCUGACGCUGAGGCGCGAAGGCCAGGGGAGCAAACGGG